AUUGGACUAACAGAGUUUUUUAAUGACAAGCUUUCGGGAGAACCUCCCUUUCUCCCUUCCCGAAAGCUUGUCAUUAAAAAACUCUGUUAGUCCAAU
This is a non-coding RNA of Pelobates cultripes (western spadefoot toad), 96 nucleotides long. The record is from the annotation of a GenBank genome assembly. NCBI's taxonomy places the organism in Eukaryota, Metazoa, Chordata, Amphibia, Anura, Pelobatidae.